AGACCGAUAGCGAACAAGUAGAGUGAUCGAAAGAUGAAAAGCACUUUGAAAAGAGAGUUAAACAGCACGUGAAAUUGUUGAAAGGGAAGCGCUUGCGACCAGACUCGCCCACGGGGUUCAGCCGGCAUUCGUGCCGGUGUACUUCCCCGCGGGCGGGCCAGCGUCGGUUUGGGCGGCCGGUCAAAGGCCCUCGGAAUGUAACGCCCCCCGGGGCGUCUUAUAGCCGAGGGUGCCAUUGCGGCCACCCAGACCGUAAGAACGCGCUUC
Molecule: ribosomal RNA, 267 nt
Filed under: Penicillium sp. BAB-1136
Lineage: Eukaryota; Fungi; Ascomycota; Eurotiomycetes; Eurotiales; Aspergillaceae
Description: partial 28S ribosomal RNA
Rfam family: Eukaryotic large subunit ribosomal RNA
Source: RNAcentral